RNAcentral lists this ribosomal RNA (208 nucleotides) under uncultured Verrucomicrobiota bacterium. RNAcentral describes it as "uncultured Verrucomicrobia bacterium partial 16S ribosomal RNA". It matches the Rfam family "Bacterial small subunit ribosomal RNA", at positions 568 to 775 of the family's 1533-position model. Lineage: Bacteria; Pseudomonadati; Verrucomicrobiota. The record is from RNAcentral.
UGCGUAGGUGGCGAAGUAAGUCGGAUGUGAAAUCUCCGAGCUCAACUCGGAAACUGCAUUGGAAACUACUUUGCUUGAGGGUUGGAGGGGGGACUGGAAUACUUGGUGUAGCAGUGAAAUGCGUAGAUAUCAAGUGGAACACCAGUGGCGAAGGCGAGUCCCUGGACAACUCCUGACACUGAGGCACGAAAGCUAGGGGAGCAAACAG